CCUACGGGAGGCAGCAGUGAGGAAUAUUGGUCAAUGGGCGUAAGCCUGAACCAGCCAAGUCGCGUGAGGGAUGAAGGUUCUAUGGAUCGUAAACCUCUUUUAUAAGGGAAUAAAGUGUGGGACGUGUCCUAUUUUGUAUGUACCUUAUGAAUAAGGAUCGGCUAACCCCGUGCCAGCAGCCGAGGUAAUACGGAGUAUCCGAGCUUUAUCCGGAUUUAUUGGGUUUAAAGGGUGCGUAGGCGGCCUUUUAAGUCAGCGGUGAAAGUCUGUGGCUCAACCAUAGAAUUGCCGUUGAAACUGGGGGGCUUGAGUAUGUUUGAGGCAGGCGGAAUGCGUGGUGUAGCGGUGAAAUGCGUAGAUAUCACGCAGAACCCCGAUUGCGAAGGCAGCCUGCCAAGCCAUGACUGACGCUGAUGCACGAAAGCGUGGGGAUCAAACAGGAUUAGAUACCCCUGUAGUC
Molecule: ribosomal RNA, 460 nt
Filed under: uncultured bacterium
Lineage: Bacteria
Description: partial 16S ribosomal RNA
Rfam family: Bacterial small subunit ribosomal RNA
Source: RNAcentral